UUAAAUAGGGUAACCGGUUACAUGCAUUCAACGUUACAAAAUAAUUUGAAAUUUGCUUGAGGUAACCGGUUACCUUAAAUUGGAUAACCGGUUACAUGGUUCCAAGGUUACAAAAAUGUUUGAAAAUCACAUAGAGUAAUCAGUUACUCUAAAAUUGAUAACCGAUUACUCUAACACAGUUUUGAAAAAUAACUUAAAAAGUGAAGUGUGGUGGUUUGUUGAUGCAUAAAACUAUUUUCAAUGAUUAUGAUAUGAAUGCAAC
Molecule: long non-coding RNA, 262 nt
Filed under: Lathyrus oleraceus (garden pea)
Lineage: Eukaryota; Viridiplantae; Streptophyta; Magnoliopsida; Fabales; Fabaceae
Description: Pisum sativum (pea) long non-coding RNA (PSAT_LNC009353)
Source: RNAcentral